GAUGAACGCUGGCGGCGUGCCUAACACAUGCAAGUCGAACGGAGAUUACGGACGGAAGUUUUCGGAUGGAAGCCUGUAAUUCUUAGUGGCGGACGGGUGAGUAACGCGUGGGCAACCUGCCCUAUACAGGGGGAUAGCAGCUGGAAACGGCUGGUAAGACCGCAUAAGUCGGUUAAAUCGCAUGAUUUGAUCGGGAAAUGAGCAAUCAGGUAUAGGAUGGGCCCGCGUCCGAUUAGCCAGUUGGCAGGGUAAAAGCCUACCAAAGCGACGAUCGGUAGCCGGACUGAGGGGUCGGACGGCCACAUUGGGACUGAGACACGGCCCAAAAUCCUACGGGAGGCAGCAGUGGGUGAUAUUGCACAAUGGAGGAAACUCUGAUGCAGCGACGCCGCGUGAGUGAAGAAGUAUUGCGGUAUGUAAAGCUCUAUCAGCAGGGAAGAUGAUGACGGUACCUGACGAAGAAGCCCCGGCUAACUACGUG
RNAcentral lists this ribosomal RNA (481 nucleotides) under uncultured bacterium. RNAcentral describes it as "partial 16S ribosomal RNA". It matches the Rfam family "Bacterial small subunit ribosomal RNA", at positions 28 to 507 of the family's 1533-position model. The record is from RNAcentral.